CCUACGGGCGGCAGCAGUGGGGAAUAUUGCUCAAUGGGGGAAACCCUGAAGCAGCGACGCCGCGUGAGUGAUGAAGUUUUUCGGUAUGUAAAGCCCUAUUUGUAGGGAAGCAAAUGACGGUACCUGACUAAGAAGCACCGGCUAACUACGUGCCAGCAGCCGCGGGAAUACGGAGGGGGCAAGCGUUAAACGGAAUCACUGGGGGUAAAGGGCGCGUAGGCGGGAGUACAAGUCAGCGGUGAAAUCCUAGGGCUUAACCACGGAACUGCAUUUGAAACUGUGGGUCUAGAGUGGGGGAGAGGUAGGUGGAAUGCAUGGUGGAGCGGUAAAAUGCGUAGAGAUUAAGAGGAACAC
Molecule: ribosomal RNA, 354 nt
Filed under: uncultured bacterium
Lineage: Bacteria
Description: partial 16S ribosomal RNA
Rfam family: Bacterial small subunit ribosomal RNA
Source: RNAcentral